GAUGAAGAACGCAGCGAAAUGCGAUAAGUAAUGUGAAUUGCAGAAUUCAGUGAAUCAUCGAAUCUUUGAACGCACAUUGCGCCUGCCAGUAUUCUGGCGGGCAUGCCUGUCUGAGCGUCAUUUCAACCCUCAUGCCCCUAGGGCGUGGUGUUGGGGAUCGGCCAAAGCCCGCGAGGGACGGCCGGCCCCUAAAUCUAGUGGCGGACCCGUCGUGGCCUCCUCUGCGAAGUAGUGAUAUUCCGCAUCGGAGAGCGACGAGCCCCUGCCGUUAAACCCCCAACUUUCCAAGGUUGACCUCAGAUCAGGUAGGAAUACCCGCUGAACUUAAGCAUAUCAAUAAGCGGAGGA
Molecule: unclassified non-coding RNA, 348 nt
Filed under: soil metagenome
Description: partial contains 5.8S ribosomal RNA, internal transcribed spacer 2, and large subunit ribosomal RNA
Rfam family: 5.8S ribosomal RNA (bases 1-120)
Source: RNAcentral